AAAAAUAUUUCUCUCAGAUUCCCCCAUCUCCAGCUACAGCUCCUGGUUUUCUUUGCUGUCAUUUUCUCACCCUCUCUCCACUUUCUCAGCACAUUUUCCUUCUCCCCAAACAUCCCCUGUUUCUCCUCCCUCGAGUUCUUCCACUACCUCCACUUUUCUCCCCAACCCAAAUCCUAUUUCUCUCUCUUUUCUCCUUUUUGCUUUCCAAUUUCGAAAAUUUCUCCCCCCAGCUCCCAUCUUAUCUUCAUCCCCAAAUCUUCCAUUUCCCCCCUUUUGUUUUUCAAUCUCUCCAUGCGGGUAAUAUCAGGAGUUUUCAGUAGUUAGUCAGUCAGUUGAUUGAGCUGUAAUCUGGGUUCUCUCUGGUUUUCAGUAAUUUGAGCUUUGGUUUCAGUAAUUUGGACGGAGUUCCAUGGGGGCUCGAUUUAGGGUUUCGGUGUAGUGAUUUCGGGGGGUUUUCUUCUGAAUUGGGGAAAGGGAUUUUCGCCUUUUUCGGGUUUAAUUUACCAAUUAUGCCACUGGAGGAUGAAGAUCGAGGU
RNAcentral lists this long non-coding RNA (536 nucleotides) under Linum usitatissimum (flax). Its description in RNAcentral is "long non-coding RNA (LUSI_LNC001814)". Lineage: Eukaryota; Viridiplantae; Streptophyta; Magnoliopsida; Malpighiales; Linaceae. The record is from RNAcentral.